This 76-nucleotide transfer RNA is filed under the name Parapedobacter pyrenivorans. RNAcentral's name for it is "tRNA-Lys". It matches the Rfam family "tRNA". From Rfam's summary of the family: Transfer RNA (tRNA) molecules are approximately 80 nucleotides in length. RNAcentral also lists the same sequence under 4 other names. The record is from RNAcentral. Lineage: Bacteria; Pseudomonadati; Bacteroidota; Sphingobacteriia; Sphingobacteriales; Sphingobacteriaceae.
GACUCCGUAGCUCAGCUGGUAGAGCAACUGACUCUUAAUCAGUGGGUCGACAGUUCGAACCUGUCCGGGGUCACCA